GAUGAACGCUGGCGGCGUGCUUAACACAUGCAAGUCGAACGGGGUGCCUUUGACAGAGGAUUCGUCCAAUGGAUAAGGUUACCUAGUGGCGGACGGGUGAGUAACGCGUGAGUAACCUGCCCUGGAGUGGGGAAUAACAGCUGGAAACAGCUGCUAAUACCGCAUAAUGCAGUUGGGUCGCAUGGCUCUGACUGCCAAAGAUUUAUCGCUCUGGGAUGGACUCGCGUCUGAUUAGCUAGUUGGUGGGGCAACGGCCCACCAAGGCGACGAUCAGUAGCCGGACUGAGAGGUUGGCCGGCCACAUUGGGACUGAGACACGGCCCAG
This 325-nucleotide ribosomal RNA is filed under the name uncultured bacterium. RNAcentral's name for it is "bacterial SSU rRNA". It matches the Rfam family "Bacterial small subunit ribosomal RNA", at positions 28 to 334 of the family's 1533-position model. The record is from RNAcentral.